AUGUGAAUAUACUGAGCCGAGUCUUAUUUUAAUUUUCUAUAUUCUUUCUUCCUUAUAUAUUCCUUUCCUUUUCCUUUGCUUUCAUUUUUCAUGUUUUUUAUUUUCUUUCUUAAUUCCACCUGAUCAAUUCCCACUCCCUGCCUCCCUUGUGAUGAAGCCUUGGGAAAGAUUAAAUAUAUUUGGUAGGUCUUUGAAUUUCAUACUCCCUUAUCACCUUGUCAUGUAUAAUCCUUAACACAUUGGAAUUGUAAUAUGCCAGGAAACUGUUAAAGAACAAUUGGCAACGGCAAAUGCUAAAUUUCUGGAACAGUUUUGCUCUUUGCUAAUCAAAUGCCAUGAUCUACAAAGCUUAAUCCUGAAAUGUCAGAAAUAAGACUAUGAUUAAAAACAACUCAUAUGUUUUGACAGCAUAGAUAUCACUUACUCCAUGCAUGUGAACUAACAGCGUGUCUGGUUUGGCUACAGAAGUAUCAUAAACUGUCAUGCACGUGAUCAAUCAUAUAAACAGAGUAAGAAAUGCAAGAGUGACCACGGCUCAUCACUGCCGACACUGCCUGAUUUCACGCUUGACAUGUGCUUAGACACUAAACACAGCUGAGGCUGGCCUUUGAUUGUUGAACCUUUGGAAAGUAAGAAGGUGUUGAAAGUGUUUGGUAAUGUUGUUUUGACUAGAUACAUGUAGAAAGGCCCCCAUAAGAGUACUCUAAUUCUCUUAUUCAUCUAAGUUUAAUGAAGGAACUCCAUGGAAUAAUGUAAGGUCUACGUAUCGAACUUCUGGAAGACAAACCCUACACUAAAAGUUACCUUGUACCUCAAAGGCUUGUGAUAGAUUAAUCCUAAGCUUUCCUCUAAAUUACUCACCAUGGCAUAAUAGGACCCUUUUCAAAUUUUCUUUUCAUAUUUCUAUUAUAUUUGAGAACUAAUUGAGGAAAAGAAAACCAUAAAAAAAAAAGAAGAUGAGAACAAAUGACGCAAAAACGUCCACGUGCGCUUUCUCCUAUCCAAUGUGUACUUUAGCUCCAUCAUAUGAUUAAAACUUCACUAUGGUCAAUGCCUCCAGCAGAAAUGCUUUAGUAUCUCCUUGUAAUAUCUUUCCAAUCUCUUAAGUAAUUGGACUGAGUUCUGUAUUAAAUAUAGGUGUACUCUGUUACCCCUAUAUAUUGAAAAUAACAUGUUUUUUUUUAUAUCGACUUCUAAGACUCAGAUACAUGAUUCAGAGCUUCUGCAUUAUAAGUAAAAUGAUGAUAUUCAUUAAAAUACAAGCUUACAAGUGCUUUUUUACAAGAGAUGUGGACACUAAUCUAAAGUCAUUCCAAUGAUAAUAAAAGAAAUAAUCUUAAAUCUGAUAUCAUAUAUUAUAGUUAUGUAGGUGUAUUUUCUUUUAUACCCUUUAUAAUUACAUUUCUUCCCUUUUUACUGAAAAUUUAAAAUCAUUUAUAUCCUACAUAUAUUUUUUAAUUUUCUGAUAGGUGUGAAGGAAACUAAUCCAACCACUGAAAAAUGCACAGGUAACCUGCAAAUACAAAAUACCAAUAUACAAUAAGAAAAUAAUAGGAAAAAAUAUUUAUUCUUUUGUUGUCAUGAAUCAAAUGACAAUUAACAUGAAACUAUAAUACCAAAGCUUGUUUUACUGCCUUUUUUAUAAGUAAGAACUUUGGCUGCCCCAUACCUCCGCAAUAUUGAGCAAUUUAUCAAUCGGAGACAUUAUUGGCUGGCAUCUAAUGAUGCUGGACUGUACAAUCUGGGUUAAAAACAAAAUAAGAGCAUCCCACUUUGACCUAUUCUGAUGAUUUUGCAACUUCAAAGACUUGAAAAAUAAACAGGGCUUUUCCACUCAAUAAAAUGCAACGGUGAGACGAGGUUAAGUGCCAUUGUCGGUGCUUUCAUAAAGAGUUGUGGAUUUGUUUCUUAGUGGGAAAUUUAGGGAGUCCGGCAUUAAGGAUGGCCUGAUAUGAAAAGUAUUGCUAAUGCACGAUUUGAGACUAGAAAAAAUGUACAGUACAUCUAAAAAUACACAUUUUCUCAUCUAAUGUGAAUCAGUUUGGAAAAUGGGCCCAAAAUUUGAUUUUGUCUCUCGCGGUGAAUGUCCCGCAUCAAUCACGAGAGGAGACAUGGUUUGCUAGUAUUACUAUGCUACAGCAUUAUGAGUAUGCGGCCUGCCGAUGUAAAUCCAGAAAGUGAUGUAGAUGAGAACAUGCAACAUAAGUUGGAAUUAAGUUACACUUUGUUAGCGAUCCUAACCCAUUAGACUGGAGGCUAAAUGCACAGAUGUGUUGCAGAACAAACAGAGGACAAGAGACCGGGGUAGGAAGAGAUUGAUUUACACUUGUCAUGAUGAAAAUUUAAAAAAAAACAAUCUACUAUGAAAAGGAUUGAAAUGAGGAGGCUCUUGUUUAAUAAUUCCUUUUAGUGUCUCUUUAAAAAUAACAAAUAAACUCCACCUUCCAUUGAAUAGAAAUCAUGAAAAUGAUAAAAAGAGAAUAUGAAAUUAUGAUCAAUUUUUUACUAUACACGUUAUACACUGUUAUGAAGUAGAUGGACAUUAAGGUUUAUCAUCACCUACCAUCACCUGUAAAUGUUGAAGAUCACUUUUAAAAGUUUUAGUGACAAAACUCAUUGUUGAAGAGGCAAAAUAUUACAGGGGAAGCAGCUUAUUAGACUUACAAAUUUGAAAAUGAUCUUAAAGUUUGACAGAUGAUCAUAUUUUAUUUCAAUAAUCAAUGAAAUCAUUCAUUUAUUUAUUAUUCUUACAAAACAAGCAUGCAUUUCAUGAGAAAAGUACCCAAAAAUGAGAUCUGAGCACACUCAAACAGCAAGGUUUCACAUGCCAUUUGUUCCUUAAGAAAAAUUGUAUAACAUUUCAUUCAAGAACACAAUGCAAGCAAUACUAUUCAUCUCUCAACAUGAAAUAAACUAGAAAACCCAAGACAUGGAUUACAGAAGGAAACGUAGUAUUGAAAGUUGCGAGAUGUCACGAAAGCAAGCAUUUUUUGUAUCAUGAGGAAAUGAUGAUCGACAAACCUUUUUCAACAAGGAAUAUUUGCUGAUAUUUGUAAUCGGAUUUGAUAUGAUAUAAGCAAGCCCUACUCCAUAGAUGCAUGCACAUGUAGUUAUUAGAUACGAUCGGCAGCAUUAAGCAUUACAAAUUGGUCUAGAAAUCGCGUCUCCUGGCUGAAAUGAGGCUCUGCUGAAUCGUCUUGAUAUUGUCCAAUUUAACUGGUGUGGUGUCAUGCAGAGAUCUGUUUAUGAAUUUCAAACAACCCUGAGUUAUGAUCAACAAUGAGAUCGCAAGAUCUUUCUGGUGGGGUUGAACCUACGCUUCUUACAAUAAUCUUGUUAUUAUCUUUCAUCAUUUGAAUUAUUUUUUUUUGAUGCAACAAUUCUUUUGAAGAACUGGUUAGUUAUUACUUUAUGAAAUCCAUAUAUUUUUUGAUAAUGAAAUCAAUAUUUUAAUUUCUGCAUUCUAUGUUCUCUUCUGUAUUAGAUAUCAUUGGCAAGUAACCACACCCAGGAACAGACAAUAAUCCAAUUUGAGAAAGCAAACUGAAAAAGAAUCCCUCAAAGAUGAAUUCCCUCAUCCUGGUUGUCAUGGGCCUGCUCCUCUUCACAGCAGAACUCAUCCCAGCCGCUCCUGCCCCUUUCUUUGACGAAGACGCAAUGGACCUGAUGGAGCCUGUCCUCAACUACCAGGAAGACCAGACCGUAAAGCGAAGCGCCCUCAUGCAGAAAUCUUGCAUCUUCACCUGUCUAGCUUGCUCUAAGAACACCCAUAUGCAAACGACGGACUGCAUCUCUGGUUGCAACGGCGCAGGGCGAGACCCGAGCCAGGCACGAGCAUACAAGGCCUGCCACAUGUACCUUCACAGUGGACGUAAAUAAAACCAUUUUUGAGAACUUCAAGACUUCAUCCAUCCCUCACAAAAAAACUAGCAGAUGAUAAUAUACAUGCUUUAAUAUUUUUUAAAUUUCCAUUCAAUCGGUCACUUUUUCGAUAGUUUGCACCGCUGGGGAAACACUUUCACCUUCUUCCACGAGACUUUCACAUUUAGUUGAUUUCUUGGGGUGUUAAUUGUCAAUCCCCUUUUCCUUCAUCUACUUCAAGUUACGCUCUGCCAUUUACUCUUCACGCAACUAUCAAUGCCCCUCUAUGAUUUCAUCACAUCUUAAGAUGUACUUUAAAGUGUAGAUUGAUUCUCUUUAUAAAUAGAGGUUAUUGGCUAUGAUUUUUCCCAACUUUGUUUCUAGUUAGAUGUAUAAGCACGAACCCACUAUGUAUUGCACAUUUCUCAAAUUUACAAUAUGUGAAUUGCUUUGUAAAAUUUGUACAAAAAAAGUAAUAUACCAACAUAAUGUAAAUACAGAGUUGCUCUAUGCCUGAUAUCUUUAAUUUUGAUUUUUACAUUUUGGAACCUUACAUCUAAGCACACAGUAGUAGUUCAUUUAUAAAAGAUUAAAUUAGUUUUAUUUUGUAUAUUCAUGGAUGUGUCUGAAAGUGAGAAAGAAGUUUAAAUAUCCCUGUCAUAAUGACAGAGAAGUACAAUAUUGACCUUGCCAUUUUCAUUGUGAUAUGAGCUAUAGUGUUGCAAUAAGCCAUUCUUUCUCCAUAGCUGUAGUUUUCUACUGUCUUAAAGUGUAAGACCCCAUUCUCAUUAUAUUUUCUAUAAUUAGCUUAGUGGAAACUGGUUCAGGAAACCAGUUUGGAAGAUUGAUUUGCUAGCCUUCCCAUCUGAUCACCCCAAAAUGGUUUACAAAACUACUUCACGUAAAGCAGUCUUGUUGCUACAGGAAUGCUCUCAGUGGGGUGAUGUUUGAAAUCGCAGUGUAGACGUUCUAUACACAGUGUGUGGAAUAGCGCGCCAAACAGAUUCCCGAAGAAUGGCUGGGUCCUCAUCUACACUUAAACUGGUUUAAUGAGGCAGAGAGUUCUUGAAAACCGCAUCACAAGCAUUCCUAUUACACGAUCGACUAGUCUCCACUAAACUGGUUUCCACUUAACUAGUUUUAGGACUGUAAUGAGAACGGGGUCUUAAGGCCUCAUCACACCAAACUGGGUUAGGCCAGUGUGUCCCAAACCAUACAAACACAAAAGAUCUGUUAUCAUGCUGAGCAUGGUGUGAAUUUAGUGUGAGAUCAUCAUGGAGAUUACCAACUAAUCCAUUUGUUUUAUACAACAUCAGGCCAGAAUGAAGCCUCAAAGAGUUUUUGGUGUGACCAGACCUUUACUCAAACAUUUCCAUGCUCUAAUGGAAAAAGAUAAAUAUAAUAGUACAAAAACAUAUUUCGUACUAGUGAUAAAGCUUUAUACUGGGAGACGCUCUCCUCACUCACAAUGGAGAGGCUGUCUAUGCUGGAGAGCUCUCUCCUUACUAUCAAUGAUCUAUCAAAUUUUCAUAAAAGCCAGCUUAAUCAAAGAAAUGACUGGAUCAUUGAUCAAUAUUCCCCAGGUAUAUAUAGCUACCAAUGAUCAUUCUAACAAGAACGAAUACGGAAGUAUUUAUCUGGACCAAACUUCUUGCGCACGAGUGAGGAUUGUGUCUUUAAUUGUAAAGUUCUCCUCAAUGAUGGGAAUAUACGGUAAUAUCUCCCAGAUUUUAUAGGGCUGAUGUUCUAUUCUACCUAUUGAUUCUCAUGAAAGGGUUUUUAUUUCAUCGAGAAGGGCAUUUUUCAAGAGUUAUCAUCAAUUUUGUUAUGAAUAAUAUCAAAAUAUCCCAAGAUCAUAGAUGACAUUUUAAGAGUCAAUAUAUCAUUUUAAGGGAUAGAGCUUUCUUUCUCAUACCACUUAAUAGAGAGCUUCUCAUUUACUAUGGAGCCACUCUCUACAGCGCACCAAUUUCUUUCAAAAUGCAAGUCAAAACACAAUGGAGAGCUGAGAGGCUUUUGUCUAAAGUUAGUGGACCGGGGACAGCAGCAUAGUGUCUUGACUCUGUACAACGACAUAAUUAUUUGCGAUUGUUCAUCCCAUGCAAAUCUUUGGAUGAUCAUCUAUCCCGGUGCACCAACUUUCAACAAAAACAUCUCAGCUCUCCAUUGUGAUUUUACUCUGAAAGGAAUUGGUGCGCUGUAGGGAGUGACACCAUAGGAAAUAUGCAAACUCUAUACGGUUAUAGAGACAAGA
This 6115-nucleotide long non-coding RNA is filed under the name Lytechinus variegatus (green sea urchin). RNAcentral describes it as "uncharacterized LOC121418835". Lineage: Eukaryota; Metazoa; Echinodermata; Echinoidea; Temnopleuroida; Toxopneustidae. The record is from RNAcentral.